This 1521-nucleotide ribosomal RNA is filed under the name human metagenome. Its description in RNAcentral is "bacterial LSU rRNA". It matches the Rfam family "Bacterial large subunit ribosomal RNA", at positions 1391 to 2925 of the family's 2925-position model. The record is from RNAcentral.
CUAAGCCGAGGCCGAAAGGCGUAGGUGAUGGACAACAGGUUGAUAUUCCUGUACCGCCAAUAAGCGUUUGAGAGAUGGAGUGACACAGUAGGAUAAGCUAACCGUACUGUUGGUUAUGUACGGCUAAGCAUUGAGGCAGUCUAAAUAGGCAAAUCCGUUUAGACAAUGCUAGGAUGUGAUGGGGAAGCCCUUCGGGGCGAAGUAGCUGAUUUCACACUGUCAAGAAAAGCUUCUAUCGAGUUUAAAGGCGCCCGUACCGUAAACCGACACAGGUGGGUGAGGAGAGUAUCCUAAGGCCAGCGAGAGAACUAUUGUUAAGGAACUCGGCAAAAUGACCCCGUAACUUAGGGAGAAGGGGUGCCUGUCUAUGACAGGCCGCAGAGAAUAGGCCCAAGCGACUGUUUACCAAAAACACAGGUUUCUGCUAAGUCGCAAGACGAUGUAUAGGAGCUGACGCCUGCCCGGUGCUGGAAGGUUAAGGGGAUCUGUUAGAGCAAUCGAAGCAGUGAACUUAAGCCCCAGUAAACGGCGGCCGUAACUAUAACGGUCCUAAGGUAGCGAAAUUCCUUGUCGGGUAAGUUCCGACCCGCACGAAAGGCGUAACGAUUUGGGCACUGUCUCAACAACAGACUGGGUGAAAUUGUAAUACCGGUGAAGAUGCCGGUUACCUGCGACAGGACGGAAAGACCCCAUGGAGCUUUACUGUAGCUUGACAUUGAGUCUCGGUGCUACAUGUACAGGAUAGGUGGGAGACUAUGAAGCAUGGACGUCAGUCUGUGUGGAGUCAUCCUUGGGAUACCACCCUUGUAGUACUGGGAUUCUAACCAGAGGCCAUGAAUCUGGUCUUGGGACACUGUCAGGUGGACAGUUUGACUGGGGCGGUCGCCUCCCAAAAAGUAACGGAGGCGCUCAAAGGUUCUCUCAGUACGGUCGGAAAUCGUACGAAGAGUGUAAAGGCAAAAGAGAGCUUGAUUGCAAGACAUACAGGUCGAGCAAGGACGAAAGUCGGACUUAGUGAUCCGGUGGUUCCGCAUGGAAGGGCCAUCGCUCAACGGAUAAAAGCUACCCUGGGGAUAACAGGCUGAUCUCCCCCAAGAGUCCACAUCGACGGGGAGGUUUGGCACCUCGAUGUCGGCUCAUCACAUCCUGGGGCUGUAGUAGGUCCCAAGGGUUGGGCUGUUCGCCCAUUAAAGUGGUACGCGAGCUGGGUUCAGAACGUCGUGAGACAGUUCGGUCCCUAUCCGUCGCAGGCGUAGGAAAUUUGAGAAGACCUGUCCUUAGUACGAGAGGACCGGGAUGGACGUACCUCUGGUGUACCAGUUGUUCUGCCAAGGGCAUGGCUGGGUAGCUAUGUACGGAAUGGAUAAGCGCUGAAAGCAUCUAAGCGCGAAGCCAACUUCAAGAUAAGAUUUCCCACCGUAAGGGUAAGACCCCAGGAAGACUACCUGGUUGAUAGGUCGAAGGUGUAAGUGCAGUAAUGUAUUUAGCUUAUCGAUACUAAUAGGUCGAGGACUUGACCAA